AACGAACGCUGGCAGCAUGCCUAACACAUGCAAGUCGAACGAGACCUUCGGGUCUAGUGGCGCACGGGUGCGUAACGUGUGGGAACCUGCCCUUAGGUUCGGAAUAACUCCCCGAAAGGGGUGCUAAUACCGGAUAAUGUCUUCGGACCAAAGAUUUAUCGCCUUUGGAUGGGCCCGCGUUGGAUUAGCUAGUUGGUAGGGUAAAAGCCUACCAAGGCGACGAUCCAUAGCUGGUCUGAGAGGAUGAUCAGCCACACUGGGACUGAGACACGGCCCAGACUCCUACGGGAGGCAGCAGUGGGGAAUAUUGGACAAUGGGCGAAAGCCUGAUCCAGCAAUGCCGCGUGAGUGAUGAAGGCCUUAGGGUUGUAAAGCUCUUUUACCCGGGAUGAUAAUGACAGUACCGGGAGAAUAAGCUCCGGCUAACUCCGUG
This 433-nucleotide ribosomal RNA is filed under the name uncultured bacterium. RNAcentral describes it as "partial 16S ribosomal RNA". It matches the Rfam family "Bacterial small subunit ribosomal RNA", at positions 29 to 507 of the family's 1533-position model. The record is from RNAcentral.